AACGAAUAAACGGGGAGCUUGUAGGCAGGCUGAGAGGAUAGCGACAGAGCUAUCGACCCGCGACCUGAUUUGGAUAAUGCCAACGUAGGGACAUAACAAACCGAACUA
RNAcentral lists this non-coding RNA (108 nucleotides) under Hominimerdicola alba. RNAcentral describes it as "Ruminococcus albus TPP sequence". It matches the Rfam family "TPP riboswitch aptamer (THI element)". From Rfam's summary of the family: Vitamin B(1) in its active form thiamin pyrophosphate (TPP) is an essential coenzyme that is synthesised by coupling of pyrimidine and thiazole moieties in bacteria. The previously detected thiamin-regulatory element, thi box was extended, resulting in a new, highly conserved RNA secondary structure, the THI element, which is widely distributed in eubacteria and also occurs in some archaea. The record is from RNAcentral. Lineage: Bacteria; Bacillati; Bacillota; Clostridia; Eubacteriales; Oscillospiraceae. RNAcentral also lists the same sequence under 1 other name.